Molecule: non-coding RNA, 73 nt
Organism: Phrynosoma platyrhinos (Desert horned lizard)
Lineage: Eukaryota; Metazoa; Chordata; Lepidosauria; Squamata; Phrynosomatidae
Source: the annotation of a GenBank genome assembly
GGCCAGUGUGGUGUAGUGGUUUGAGUGUUGGACUAGGAUUCUGGAGAGUAAGGUUCAAUUCCCUCCUUGGCCA